CUCUCUUACCGGCAGCAGCACUCGUGUGUGUGUGUGUGUGUGUGUGUGUGUGUGGCGCAGUCAUACAGAUGCAGUGAGUCCAGACAGCAGCAUGUGAGCGCCAGUGUGAGUGUGUGUGCUGGGAGCAGGUGUUUUCGCGAGCCGUUAGAGACAGGGACACACACACACACACACACACACUCCAAAAGAGCAGCAGCACGGAGGCAGCCGGGACUAUUUGCCUUUUGUUUGUUUUUUGUUUAGUUUGUUCUUCCUCUUCCUCCUCGUGAUUGUGGGAGGCGCGCUCUCCUCUCAUCCUCUCGCUCUGUCCAUCAUCUUCUCAUCUCUCUCUCAUUUGUAGUUUCUCUGAUUUGUGAGCCGCCGAAGGUUUUACAGGACUGUGUGUUCUUCUUUUCUCUUCCUAUUCCUCCUUUGGUUGUUUGACUGUAGGUAGGUUGAUUUGUGUUCACUGUAGUGUGUGUGUGUGUGUGUGUGUGAGAGAGAGAGUGUGUUCUGUUUGUGAAGCACACACAUGAACACACACAUGCAGUGACGUAGAGAGAGAGAGACGUGUGUCUUACCUCAGGCAGGUGUGUGUGUGUGUGUGUGUGUGAUCACAAACACAUUAUAAUACACACUCAUCUCUCUCCCUCUCUUCAUUCUACUGGUCUCUCACCUGUGUGUGUUUGCACACAUCAGUCUAACACACACACCCUUCAUAAUCCCACUCACUCCAUUAUCUCUCCCUGAGUUUCAUUCAUUGAUCUGCCGUUAUUUCUGAUAUACACUGUUAUUCACGCAUCAGCGCUCUUGUGUGUGUGUGUGUGUGUGUGAGAGAGAGAGUAAUGAACCUGUUUAUUACUAGAGAGUAUCAUCAGACCAUGUAAAGUAAUCCUUGUGUGUGUGCGCGCGCGCUUCGCCUCCAUCACCCCAGCGUGUCUCUCCGCGGUCGUAUAGGUGUGUGUCUGACAGUCCUCGCGCUGGAUGAGUGUUUGGACGCAGCUCUUCUCUUCUGUUUCUCCUGAGGAGACCCGCUUCAUCCAUGGGUCUGGACUGCGUCGCGUCUCCAGAUGAGCAGACACACGCGCCUCUUUCUGCUCUUUUACAAUUGGACUAAAUGCGGAGUGAAGCCGUUUCAGCAGAGGUGAAUGUGAACGGGACGCCGGAUCCGCCGGAGGACGUGCGCGCGACCGAGACUUGGGCUGUUCGACACUCUGAAAACCAGGACUCUGAAGAUCAGCAGCUCCAGAGGACAAACACACACACAAGAACAGAGAGAGAUACUGUAGACUGACUGCUAUCAGUGUCCACAGUAGGGUAUGAGAACGCUACAGCAUCAUGUGGUUUCUGAGAUGGAGGAGUGAGAGUUCAGCUGAAAACACACGAGGGUUUUCGCUCCUCCAUCAUGUCCGUCUGCAUUUACCGUGGCUUAGCUCCCCCCUCUCAGGCAAGGCGGGCGUGGCUUCGUGUUCUGGCUCCGCCCCCACAUCACUGGCCCCGCCCGUCGCUGCAGCAGCUGUUGGCCGUGUGUCUGCUGCUGCUGCUGCCACUGGCCGUCCAAUCACGGCGCGAGCGAGGCGGAGGGGGCGUGGCCCAGUAUAUCCCAUCAUCAGUGGCUCAGUAUCCGCCCGUCUCCAAGCUGAUGCAGGGCCUGAGCAUCGCAGUGGUGCUGGUGGGGAACUCCAGUGAGGUGGCGCUCGCCGGCAUGCGUGACAAAGAUGACUUUGGCCACAUGCCGCUGGCGCCCAGUGUUGAGAUGGUCACCAUGAACGAGACGGACCCCAAGAGCAUCAUCAAGAGCAUCUGCGACCUGAUGAUGGAGCACUGGCUGCAGGGCGUAGUGUUCGGAGACGACACCGACCAGGAGGCCAUCGCACAGAUCCUGGACUUCAUCUCCGCGCAGACACACAUCCCCAUCCUGGGAGUGAAGGGAGGCUCCUCCAUGAUCAUGGCUGCUAAGGACGAUAACUCCAUGUUCUUUCAGUUCGGACCCUCCAUCGAGCAGCAGGCGUCCGUCAUGCUCAACAUCAUGGAGGAGUACGACUGGUACAUCUUCUCCAUCGUCACCACUUACUACCCCGGCUACCAGGACUUUGUUACUAAGAUCCGCAGCACCAUUGAGAACAGUUUUGUCGGCUGGGAGCUGGAGGAGGUGCUGCUGCUGGACAUGUCUGUGGACGACGGAGACACUAAGAUCCAGAACCAGCUGAAGAAGCUGCAGAGUCCCGUCAUCCUGCUCUACUCCACCAAAGAGGAGGCCAACAUCAUCUUCCAGGUGGCACACUCCGUGGGGCUGACGGGCUACGGUUACACCUGGAUCGCCCCGUCUCUGGUGGCCGGAGACGCCGACCACAUCCCGGCCGAGUUCCCCACAGGCAUGAUCUCAGUGUCGUAUGACGAGUGGGAUUAUGGGCUGGAGGCGCGCGUGCGUGACGGUGUAGCUGUGAUCGCAUCAGCCACCUCCACCAUGAUGAUGGACCGCGGGCCGGACAUGCUCCUGAGGUCUGAGUGCCACGGGGCCCCUGACAGGAAGAGCCCCAUCACAGGAAACCACAACGAAGUGCACAGGUAUCUGAUGAACGUGACCUUCGAGGGCCGGAAUCUCUCCUUCAGUGAGGACGGCUAUCAGAUGCACCCCAAACUGGUGAUCAUCCUGCUGAACAAGGACAGACAGUGGGACAGAGUGGGUAAGUGGGAGAACGGCUCUCUGUCGAUGAAGUUUCACGUGUGGCCACGGUUCGAGCUCUACUCUGGGACAGAGAGCCGAGAGGAUGAUCAUCUGUCCAUCGUGACGCUGGAGGAGGCUCCGUUCGUGAUGGUGGAGGACGUGGAUCCACUCAGCGGCACCUGCAUGAGGAACACGGUUCCCUGCCGAAAGCAGCUCAAAAUACUGAAUCAGACGGGGGAUUCUGGCAUCUACAUCAAGCGCUGCUGUAAAGGCUUCUGUAUCGACAUCCUGAAGAAGAUUGCCAAGUCUGUGAAGUUCACCUACGACCUUUAUCUGGUCACCAACGGCAAACACGGCAAGAAGAUCAACGGCACGUGGAACGGGAUGGUGGGAGAGGUGGUGCUGAAGAAUGCUCACAUGGCCGUUGGCUCGCUGACCAUCAAUGAGGAGAGGUCAGAGGUCAUCGAUUUCUCUGUGCCCUUCAUUGAGACAGGCAUAAGCGUCAUGGUCUCACGGAGCAACGGCACCGUGUCUCCAUCUGCGUUCCUCGAGCCAUUCAGUGCUGAUGUCUGGAUCAUGAUGUUCGUUAUGCUACUGCUGGUUUGUGCCAUUGCAGUGUUCGUGUUCGAAUACUUCAGUCCCGUUGGCUACAAUCGCCGUCUCAUCGAUGGCAGAGAGGCCGGAGGUCCAUCGUUCACCAUUGGAAAGGCCAUCUGGUUGCUCUGGGGUUUGGUCUUCAAUAAUUCUGUCCCAGUGCAAAACCCCAGAGGAACCACCAGCAAGAUUAUGGUGUCUGUUUGGGCCUUCUUUGCUGUGAUUUUCUUGGCCAGCUAUACUGCUAACCUGGCCGCAUUUAUGAUUCAGGAAGAGUACGUGGACCAGGUGUCAGGCCUCAGCGACAAAAAGUUUCAGAGACCCAAUGACUUCUCCCCACCAUUUCGCUUUGGGACGGUGCCAAAUGGCAGCACUGAGAGAAAUAUCCGCAAUAACUACAGAGAGAUGCACUCCUACAUGGUCAAAUUCCACCAGCGCAAUGUGGAUGAAGCGCUGUACAGUCUGAAAACAGGCAAGCUGGAUGCCUUCAUUUACGAUGCCGCCGUGCUGAAUUACAUGGCGGGCAGAGAUGAGGGCUGUAAGCUGGUCACCAUUGGCUCUGGAAAAGUGUUCGCUUCCACCGGCUAUGGCAUCGCCAUUCAGAAAGACUCGGGUUGGAAGAGACAGGUGGACCUCGCCAUCCUCCAGCUCUUUGGAGACGGUGAUAUGGAGGAGUUCGAGGCUCUCUGGCUCACCGGGAUCUGCCACCAUGAAAAGAAUGAAGUGAUGAGCAGUCAGCUGGAUGUGGACAAUAUGGCGGGUGUGUUCUACAUGCUGGGUGCUGCCAUGGCUCUGUCCCUUAUCACCUUCAUCGCUGAACACGUCUUUUACUGGCACCUGCGCUUCUGCUUCAUUGGCGUGUUUUCUGGGAAACCAGGGUUCACCUUCACAAUCAGCAGGGAGAUAUAUAGCUGUAUUCAUGGAGUUGAAAUCGAAGAUAAGAGUUCAGCACUGAAUUCACCCUCAGCUACCAUGAACAACACCCACUCGAAUAUUCUGCGUUUGCUGCGCACCGCCAAGAACAUGGCAUCUCUUUCCGGUGUCAACAGUUCCCCACACAGUGCACUGGACUUCAUUCCGCCGAGAGUCCUCUGUGUAUGACAUCAGCGAGCACUGCCGCAGCCUGGCCGGACACUCAGACUGCAAGGCCCCAUACCUGCUGGAGGACAACAUGUUCAGCGACUACAUCAGUGAGGUGGAGCGCACCUUUGGCAACCUACACCUGAAGGACAGUAAUCUCUACCAGGACCACUACCUGCACCACCAUGGAGGCUCAACAAUGGGACUGAUGGGCCCAUCCCAUAACCGGCCCCACAGCCUGGGCUCCAGCAGUUCUCUGGAGGGCGGCAUGUUUGACUGCGAUAGCCUGGGCGGUGGUGUGGCCCCUAUCUUUAGCACACAGCCGCGCUCUGCCCUGACCCACAGGAACAUGAGCAAAUUCGACCUGCUGCAGAGCAAGACUCCUCCGUCUGGGUUAAAGCAGGGACUGGCCGACCUGUAUGGAAAAUUCUCCUUCAAAGGCGUGUCUAGAGUGUCUAGUUCCGGAUAUAUUGCAGGCCACGACCCAGUUUUGUGACGGUGCAGAUGAUGGAAACAUCCGUUCUGAUGUGUCUGACAUUUCCACUCAUACUGUGACCUAUGGCAAUCUGGAGGGCAAUGCCAAGAAACGCAAGCAGUAUAGAGACAGCCUGAAGAAGCGCCCUGCAUCUGCAAAGUCCAGACGAGAACUUGACGAGAUCGAGCUGGGUUACCGCCGCCGCCAGCACCAUGGCCACCAUCAUCAUCACCAUGGUCAUCGCUCAGCUGCACCUCCAGAUGAGCACAAACAAGGUGGUGGUGUGAGCUCAACCUCAUAUCUGUUACAAGACAAGGAAAGCCUGAGGGAUUUCUACCUGGACCAGUUCCGGCCCAAAGAAGGCGUCCUGCAGUGGGAGCAUGUGGAUCUUACAGAUGGUCCCAGUGGGGGAGGAGGAGGCAACUGCACCAGCCUGGUGUCUGUGGAUGACUUCCUGAAGAGCAAACCCAAGAAGCCGGACAGCAGGAGUGGGAGCAGUGAGUGGGAAUGUCGUAGUUGUCGUGCAAGCAGUGCGGGCAGCAAGCAGACGGCCCUGCAUGGAGUUCUGCACAUGGGUGGGACAGGCUACAUUGGCAGUGGUUGUGUGGCAGCGGGUGCUGGAGGAGGGGUUGGGAGCAGCCGCCCAACUUCAGCAACUUGUAUGAGGUGCGAAGCCUGCAAGAAGUCAGGCAACCUGUAUGACAUCAGCGAGGACAGUAACCACCUGUUGGAUCAACUGGGAAGCAGUAGGGGUCAGACACCAUUGCAACGCCGCAGGGCCUUCAGCGGGAAACCGCUACGCCGCCAACAUUCCUAUGACACCUUUGUGGACCUGCAGAGAGAAGAGUUAGGUGUGCCGCUGGGGUUCGGCGGCCCUGGGGCACUGCCAGCACCACGCAGUGUGAGCCUCAAGGAGAAGGAGCGCUGCAUAGAUGCCUCUAGUCCCUUCGCACACAUAUUUGAGCAUCCUGGAGAUCGCAAGCAGGACACAGACCAUGACCCGCUGUUCUAUGGAGCUGCUGAAAGGAGUGUGGUAUCGCCAUUCGGGUUGUUCAGAGUGGGGGAGAAUACACCUCAUGGAGGACUCAUGGAGGGGCCAGCUCACUCCUUAUCCAAAUCUCUCUAUCCUGACCGAACCGACCACAACCCCUUCAUCCCCACAUUUGGAGAUGACCAGUGUCUGCUGCAUGGUGCCAAGUCCUACUAUAUCACCAAGCAGCAGCAGCACAGCGACUUGCUCAGCCCCAUGGGCAUGACCUCUUUCCUGCCGGCAUCAGCCACCUCCAGAGUCAUGUCUAACUUUGCUCCGCACUUUCCUCCCAGAUUUGUGCAUGGGGAACCACCACACCAGCAAGCUCAGUCUCGGUCCACCACGACCUUUUAACGACAAUAAUGGACACAUGUAUGAGAAGCUCUCUAGCAUAGAGUCUGACGUUUGAGAAAAAGCAAUGAGCAUGGUAAAGAACAGAGAAGCAUUCUGUUAGCCAGAUUUUAGCAGAAUAAACAGAACUUGAGAGAAUUGAAAAUGUCAUUUCCUGUCAAGUUCACAUUUACACCAAUGGGCUCAUCUUCACGAGCUGGUGAGAACAAAAGCACGUCCAUCUGUUGAGUGUGUGCAUGAAAAGAACAAGAGAGCAGAUGUCCCGUUUCACCUACGUCCCCUCGCAUCACACCAGAACAGCCCUGUCCUGUACCCUUGUCUUUCGUGAAGAUACAAUCAUGAAAACAUAAUAAAUGCUCUUUUUUUUUUUUCUUUUGAAACAGGGUAAUAACUGUACCUCAGAGAUGUAGUGAAGACACUGCUGACUGGUAAUCUGUUAUUGAAAUUGGGUUUCAUUUGUUUGAUGUUUUCCUGACCCUGCUCUGGAGGCCUUUGCUGAGCAUUAGGGAUAUUUAAAUGUGAUGAUCAAUCCACAUUCAACCUAAUGUAUCCAUGGCAACAGCCUCUCCCAUGCUGUGUACUGCCAUGAAACACGUGUGCAUUAGUGAAAGUGCACAAGCCUCUGCUGUGUUUUAUGCUCUCAUUUAUAUUCAAGUCUCUACUGCCAUGAUAUUUCAUAUCCAGCAAGAUAUCUUCUUGAUACGCCUUUGGUUACACUCACGUCAUAUGACUCUUGCUUAGAAGUUUGAACAAUAAGGGGUUAAAAGACAUUAUUGUCAUAUGUUUUGGUUGUAAAUAUAUUUCUCUUUAUAUAAGCCAUCAAGGUCAACCUUUAAUAUAGCUUUUUUCAAGUAUAACAAAUAACCAAAAUAAAGACUAAAACAAAACAAAAUGACAAAAACAUAAAAUAUGCAAAUUUUAGCAAAAGCAUUAUAACUCACGAUAAGUGAUAUUUUAAGCGAUAAUUUGCUUUUUAAAUACGUUUAUUACUUGAUUCUGAUAGUUUACUGCCUCCUAACCGGCUUAUUUUUAAGGAUUUACCUUCAUUUGUUUACCUGCAGUACAACAGAGCUGAGCAGUGCUGUCGUAGACAUGUUUAGUUUACUUGAUCGGUGUACCAAAUACUCCUUUCUAAGUUUCUCUUAAAUUGUGUUUAGAUGUCUGGUCGCUGGCUGGAGAGGUCCAGGUUCUCUCUCUCUCUCUCUCUCUCUCUCUCACACACACACACACACACACACACACACAGAGAUCUCCAGCAUCCAUCACAAAGAGUGUUUUACGAUCUAAAGCAGGGUUUUUUUUACCUUUCCUAAGGACUGAUUGACUUUGUAAAGCUGAUUAGUAAGCUGCUAGAGUGUCAUGUUUUGAAUUGUAAUACUAUCGUGAGGUCCUGUCCUCGCUUUAGAAUAAUCUUUCAUCUCCUCUUGUAUUGUUUCUGCAGUUAGAGUAACUCUAAUCAUGUCUUUAAACCUUUUUUUUUCUUUUUAGAGCAUUACUAUUAUUAUAAUUAUUAUUGUUAUUAUUAUUCUAGAAAAGCGUUUUAGGGUGUUUUCUUCUCAUAUGUUGAAGCUGGCGGUGUUCCCAUCAUAGCACAGUAAUCUAUGUUUGAGUUUUCCUAAAAACAUAUAGUUUAGAUACACACACACACACACACACAGAGUUCCCUAUGAACCCCAUGCUUAAAGCUCGAGCUCUAUAUGCUUAACAGUUCUUGUGUUCAUAGAGAAAUACGCCUAUUACGCAUAGCUGUAGUUAUAAUUUUUGUAGUGUAUUCGCAAUAUAUAAGCAACUUUUAACGUUCUUUUGACUACUAUAUUCUCAUUAUUCUAAGGUAAGUAUAGCUGGUUUAAAGUAUUCUACAGGUAAGAAACAUCCUGUUGUUAUUCACAAAGUCCAUCUGUUAUUUUCUCCACACAAUCGAUGAAUUUGUCGCUCAUCGGGGUGAUAAAGGCAUGCGUGCGUGUGCGUGAGACUCUUGUUGCUAUGGCACUGCCAUGGUGUUACGAUGCUGUUCCCAUGGUAACUGCAGUGCAAGAGGAUGCGGGCUGAAUGAGUGAAUUGUUUCACUAUGGAAUAUCCACUUUGAUAUGUUACCCAAAUUUUUACGUCAUUUACAUCUCUGAAAUUAUUUUCAAGUGGAAACAUGUACAGAUUGUGUAUAUAAAAAUGAGGGAAUUCCUCCUUUUGUAUGACAACAUGAACACAAACCUCUAUGAGAUUUUAAUAAUGAGUGAGUGUUUUGAUGAUGAUGAUGGAUCAGAAUACUUUCACAUGCUGAAUAAAGCCAAUUAAAGUACACUCUUA
RNA transcript from Carassius auratus (goldfish), 8481 nucleotides. It is a transcript of the gene named glutamate receptor ionotropic, NMDA 2B-like, with no coding region annotated. The transcript has 17 exons. Lineage: Eukaryota; Metazoa; Chordata; Actinopteri; Cypriniformes; Cyprinidae. The record is from RefSeq and is a predicted model, not a curated record.